This 29-nucleotide non-coding RNA is filed under the name Rattus norvegicus (Norway rat). The record is from RNAcentral. Lineage: Eukaryota; Metazoa; Chordata; Mammalia; Rodentia; Muridae.
UCCUACCCAGAAAUGAUGCCUAUGAACAA